GAAGAACAAUGGCUAUUCUUUGCAGCAGCCAUUGUUGUGCAUGUGUCCACUACGUGUUUUAUUUUGUAGGGCUGAUUUGCUAAGCAAUUGGCUGAAUCAAAUCCAUCACAUUCACAGACCUGUUUUCUUGAAAUGUUGUUUUCCCAGCAUGGACAAAGUAGAAGAUGGCGAGGCAGCAGGGUGGAAUGUUGUCUGCUCAGAAGCAGGAGGUCAGCACCUACGCCUGAUGGAUUUUGGUCAUGAGGCUUGGCUUUAGCCAAAGAGGCUAUUGCAGAUCGACUGUGCAAAGAGAGUUCUAGAAAGUACCAGGUGCUCCUGGUGAACACAGAGUUUGAGAUGACACCAGAUUCUCCGGUUUUGCUGGCCAAGAUGCCACCAGACAAAGGAUGGAAAUAACUGGCCGCACCCUAUGGGCUACAGUGGCUUCUCACAGACCUUGGAGGGGGCAGUGAAGGUUUGGGAUUUGCAUUGGUGAUGAGAAGAAGGGGAAGCCUCACUUCUGAGAACAUUUCUGCCUCAAAUGCACAGACGGAGCUAACCUUGCAGGCACAGCGGGCAGCCCUGCAUGACCUGUGUUCCCCGUGAUGCCAGGGUCCUGGAAGAAAGGGACACGGGGGACAUCUCUGCGCAGCACUGGGACAGGCCAGCUGUCCGUGCGUCCUGCAGGGCAUUGUGGAAACAGCUGGCGAAUUUGAAUAAGAUGAGCAGGUCUCAUGAUA
Molecule: long non-coding RNA, 719 nt
Organism: Ictidomys tridecemlineatus (thirteen-lined ground squirrel)
Lineage: Eukaryota; Metazoa; Chordata; Mammalia; Rodentia; Sciuridae
Source: RefSeq, a predicted model, not a curated record